UGCCAGCAGCCGCGGUAAUACGGAGGGGGUUAGCGUUGUUCGGAAUUACUGGGCGUAAAGCGCACGUAGGCGGAUCGGAAAGUUGGGGGUGAAAUCCCAGGGCUCAACCCUGGAACUGCCUCCAAAACUGCCAGUCUUGAGUCCGGGAGAGGUGAGUGGAAUUCCUAGUGUAGAGGUGAAAUUCGUAGAUAUUAGGAAGAACACCAGUGGCGAAGGCGACUCACUGGCCCGGUACUGACGCUGAGGUGCGAAAGCGUGGGGAGCAAACAGGAUUAGAUA
RNAcentral lists this ribosomal RNA (279 nucleotides) under uncultured bacterium. RNAcentral describes it as "partial 16S ribosomal RNA". It matches the Rfam family "Bacterial small subunit ribosomal RNA", at positions 506 to 784 of the family's 1533-position model. The record is from RNAcentral.